CUACGGGUCGCUGCAGGCGAGAAAACUUUGCAAUGUGCGAAAGCACGACAAGGUUAAUCCGAGUGGUUUGUGCUAAACGAACCUUUUGACAGUCCUAGAAACACUGUUGAAUAAGGGGUGGGCAAGUUCUGGUGUCAGCCGCCGCGGUAAAACCAGCACCUCAAGUGGUCAGGAUGAUUAUUGGGCCUAAAGCAUCCGUAGCCGGCUCUGUAAGUUUUCGGUUAAAUCUGUACGCUCAACGUACAGGCUGCCGGGAAUACUGCAGAGCUAGGGAGUGGGAGAGGUAGACGGUACUCGGGUAGGAAGGGGUAAAAUCCUUUGAUCUAUUGAUGACCACCUGUGGCGAAGGCGGUCUACCAGAACACGUCCGACGGUGAGGGAUGAAAGCGUGGGUAGCAAACAGGAUUAGAUACCCUCGUAGUC
This 423-nucleotide ribosomal RNA is filed under the name uncultured archaeon. Its description in RNAcentral is "partial 16S ribosomal RNA". It matches the Rfam family "Archaeal small subunit ribosomal RNA", at positions 323 to 746 of the family's 1478-position model. The record is from RNAcentral.